RNAcentral lists this ribosomal RNA (257 nucleotides) under Mycobacterium sp. ITM-2017-0098. RNAcentral's name for it is "partial 16S ribosomal RNA". It matches the Rfam family "Bacterial small subunit ribosomal RNA", at positions 998 to 1257 of the family's 1533-position model. The record is from RNAcentral. Lineage: Bacteria; Bacillati; Actinomycetota; Actinomycetes; Mycobacteriales; Mycobacteriaceae.
GCCUAGAGAUAGGUAUUCCCUUGUGGCCUGUGUGCAGGUGGUGCAUGGCUGUCGUCAGCUCGUGUCGUGAGAUGUUGGGUUAAGUCCCGCAACGAGCGCAACCCUUAUCUUAUGUUGCCAGCGCGUAAUGGCGGGGACUCGUGAGAGACUGCCGGGGUCAACUCGGAGGAAGGUGGGGAUGACGUCAAGUCAUCAUGCCCCUUAUGUCCAGGGCUUCACACAUGCUACAAUGGCCGGUACAAAGGGCUGCGAUGCCG